AUUGAAUGCUGGCGGCAUGCUUACACAUGCAAGUCGAACGGCAGCACGGGAGCAAUCCUGUGGCGAGUGGCGAACGGGUGAGUAAUAUAUCGGAACGUGCCCAGUCGUGGGGGAUAACGUAGCGAAAGCUACGCUAAUACCGCAUACGAUCUAUGGAUGAAAGCGGGGGAUCGCAAGACCUCGCGCGAUUGGAGCGGCCGAUAUCAGAUUAGGUAGUUGGUGAGGUAAAGGCUCACCAAGCCGACGAUCUGUAGCUGGUCUGAGAGGACGACCAGCCACACUGGGACUGAGACACGGCCCAGACUCCUACGGGAGGCAGCAGUGGGGAAUUUUGGACAAUGGGCGCAAGCCUGAUCCAGCAAUGCCGCGUGCAGGAUGAAGGCCUUCGGGUUGUAAACUGCUUUGUACGGAACGAAACGGUGAGCUCUAAUACAGUUUGCUAAUGACGGUACCGUAAGAAUAAGCACCGGCUAACUACGUG
RNAcentral lists this ribosomal RNA (481 nucleotides) under uncultured bacterium. RNAcentral describes it as "bacterial SSU rRNA". It matches the Rfam family "Bacterial small subunit ribosomal RNA", at positions 30 to 507 of the family's 1533-position model. The record is from RNAcentral.